Balaenoptera musculus (blue whale) is the source of this 443-nucleotide long non-coding RNA. RefSeq lists it as uncharacterized. The transcript is spliced from 3 exons. NCBI's taxonomy places the organism in Eukaryota, Metazoa, Chordata, Mammalia, Artiodactyla, Balaenopteridae. The record is from RefSeq and is a predicted model, not a curated record.
ACCUAAAAGGAGAGGGUUGGUGCUAUCCGUCAGCCUAAGCAGCCCACGUUCGGUUAGCAGAACCCAUGCCAUGGACGACCCCUUCCUUACACCUAGGACCGCUGCCUUACGGUCUGGCCGUAAGCACUGCACCUUUGGAUUCCCCGAGGGCCAAAGAGAACACGGGUCCAGAAGCGCCCUCUUCUCCCGCGGCUUUUCCGGGGGCAGAAGAAAUUGGCGAAGCCCAUUGGCUAGUGGGGAUCAGAAGAGGGUCUAGAUGCAGAAUAUUUCCAGGGUAUCCGAGCAUACUGAAACAUUACAAGAAAGGUCAAUAAGUGCUGCACAGCAUCCAAACUGGAAAAAGUUCAGCAACAGGAAGGCAGUGAAAGAUAAAGAAGGGAGAAGGAAACCUGACAGAAACAUCAAAGAAAGUUCUGAAGAGAGAAAAUACUUUCUUAGGCCAU